AAUGAACGUUGGCGGCGUGGAUUAGGCAUGCAAGUCGCGCGACAAGGUUUUGUUAGCUUGCUAAUGAGACUGGAGGAGCGGCGAAAGGGAGAGUAACGCGUGGGUAUCUGCCCUGGGGUCCGGGAUAGCAGCGGGAAACUGCUGGUAAUACCGGAUAACAUCCCCGGAUCAAAGGUGUGAUUCCGCCCUGGGAUGGGCCCGCGUCCUAUUAGGUAGUUGGUGGGGUAAUGGCCUACCAAGCCAAAGAUGGGUACCGGGUGUGAGAGCAUGGCCCGGCUCACUGGGACUGAGACACUGCCCAGACAUCUACGGAUGGCUGCAGUCGAGAAUCUUCCGCAAUGGACGAAAGUCUGACGGAGCGACGCCGCGUGCGGGAUGAAGGCCCUCGGGUUGUAAACCGCUGUCAGAGGGGAACAAGUUGUAGGGGGUUCUCCCCCUUCAUUGAGUGAUCCUCAGAGGAAGUACGGGCUAAGUUCGUGCCAGCCGCCGCCGUAACAC
RNAcentral lists this ribosomal RNA (498 nucleotides) under uncultured bacterium. RNAcentral's name for it is "bacterial SSU rRNA". It matches the Rfam family "Bacterial small subunit ribosomal RNA", at positions 28 to 526 of the family's 1533-position model. The record is from RNAcentral.